GUCAUUGCAACCCUCAAGCACUGCUUGGUAUUGGGCUUCGUCCCCGCGACGGGCCUGGAACAUUGUGGCGGUCCAGCGAGACUUCAAGCGUAGCAAGAUUUUCAUCCCGCUUUGGAAGCUUUUCGCUGUGAGCCAGCCAAACAACCCUCAUAUUUUCAAUGGUUGACCUCGGAUCAGGUAGGGAUACCCGCUGAACUUAA
Molecule: unclassified non-coding RNA, 200 nt
Filed under: soil metagenome
Description: partial contains internal transcribed spacer 2 and large subunit ribosomal RNA
Source: RNAcentral